CUUUAUUUUAGGUGGCAAGAGUGAGGGUGAGUAAUUUGGCAGUUCAAGUGCAGACCCGGUGAAGAUCACUUGAUGCCGGACAGGCAACAGCAGAUACUUGGAAACAGGAUCAGAAGACUCACUGGCAGAUCAGAGGGAUACAAGGGCACUGGCGAUAGGAAAUGUAACAGGAGUCCUGGAGACAACAGAAUGUGGACAUAGAAGAUAGAAGCAUUCAGAAUAAUAGACUUGAGAAGCCUGACUUCCAGAAAAGCAGAUACUACUUCUCCAAACAGGAGUAGGAAAACAAAGGUGUGUGGCAUAAAACAAAAAUACUUUGUGAAAUUACAUUUAAACAAUUCGUCUUUUGUGUAUAAUACAGCAUGUGGGCAUAUUUUGUGUUUUUCUGAUGCUCCUGUCACUCCACUUCUCAGGUCGUCAUACAUCUCCCAAACACAUGGAGACCUCCUGCAGGAGGCCACAUAAUGUCCACACUGUUAGAAAUUGCUGUAAAUUUACAGCACAUUUUCAACAGUAUAAUCCUGUUAUGUUCAAAAGCAGUACAUUGCCGUUUUUUUGUUUUUGUGAAAUGACGUAGACAAAGUAUAACAGCAUUUUAACGUAUUUAUUGCUCGAAGGAAACAAAACCGUAUUUAACAGUAUAUUUUGCUAGCCUACGGAAGACUGCAGUGAGCACGCAUGGAUUUUUCCAUAAUGAUAUUCAUACUGAUGAUAGGUGAAUUUUUGUUUUGGUCGUUGAAAUAUAUUACAUCUUCUGCAAUUGUAAUUAACUUGUAUUUGUGGAUAUUGUAGCCUAACUGUAAUUUUU
Xyrauchen texanus (razorback sucker) is the source of this 808-nucleotide long non-coding RNA. RefSeq lists it as uncharacterized. The record is from RefSeq and is a predicted model, not a curated record. The transcript is spliced from 3 exons. NCBI's taxonomy places the organism in Eukaryota, Metazoa, Chordata, Actinopteri, Cypriniformes, Catostomidae.